This 84-nucleotide transfer RNA is filed under the name Lachnospiraceae bacterium. RNAcentral describes it as "tRNA-Leu". It matches the Rfam family "tRNA". From Rfam's summary of the family: Transfer RNA (tRNA) molecules are approximately 80 nucleotides in length. Their secondary structure includes four short double-helical elements and three loops (D, anti-codon, and T loops). The record is from RNAcentral. Lineage: Bacteria; Bacillati; Bacillota; Clostridia; Lachnospirales; Lachnospiraceae.
GCCGGCGUGGCGGAAUUGGCAGACGCGCAGGACUUAAAAUCCUGUUGUGGCAACACAGUGCGGGUUCGACCCCCGCCGCCGGCA